Molecule: long non-coding RNA, 427 nt
Organism: Sorghum bicolor (sorghum)
Lineage: Eukaryota; Viridiplantae; Streptophyta; Magnoliopsida; Poales; Poaceae
Exons: 2
Source: RefSeq, a predicted model, not a curated record
UUUUCCUUUCUUCCUUCCUUUUCAGUUGAUCUCUCCUCACCCUACAGUUAAGCUUUGUGAAUUUGGCCUGCCUAGGAGCUUGCAGAGACAUAAUCAUGGAUGCUUUGGGAUAUUUCUUAUUCCUUUUUUGUCGCUAGUAUUAGCUUCUGCUUGAGUAAUCUGGUAUACAGAUUACUUGAUUAGCAGUACUCCGAUUUGGUUGACAACAAAAGGUAGAACUAGUGGUAUCCAGGAGUUGGCAACCUAUUUCAGAUUUCAGGUUGCAGUGAAAAGACUUGCAGUGUUUGCAGACACGCCUAGCAAAUUUGCUUUCUCAUAAUUAGACUCCACUUUGAGAGCUACGACUUGUGCAAAUUCGUGGUCCAUGGUCCCAUUUCACUGCACUAUCAAAGUCAGAACUAGCACAAUAAAGCGGAAAAGUGUCACA